Molecule: non-coding RNA, 323 nt
Organism: Hydra vulgaris (swiftwater hydra)
Lineage: Eukaryota; Metazoa; Cnidaria; Hydrozoa; Anthoathecata; Hydridae
Source: RefSeq, a predicted model, not a curated record
GGUGGUAAUAAAGUAUACAAAAUUUGCUCUGGCUGAAUUUUUCAAUGAAAAAACAAUAUGUGUGCCAUGAAUGUAAUCUGUUUUUCAUGGUGUAUCAAUGAAAGUUUGGUGUAUUGGCCAAAUCACUUGAAAGCAUCUUGCCUUUAAACUGCCAUACGUAAAGUCGCGCUUUUAAAAGUAACUGAAAGCAGCUGAAUAUAAGAUUUUUUUGAUGAACUUUCUUACUUCGGUUGGAGGAGAUGAGAAACAACUUACAGCGGCAAUCUUAAUACAGCUAAUGGCCAAAGAAAUAUGUUUUUCAUAUUCAGUGUAUGGAAUGAAAC